This 72-nucleotide transfer RNA is filed under the name Ailuropoda melanoleuca (giant panda). It matches the Rfam family "tRNA". From Rfam's summary of the family: Transfer RNA (tRNA) molecules are approximately 80 nucleotides in length. Their secondary structure includes four short double-helical elements and three loops (D, anti-codon, and T loops). Lineage: Eukaryota; Metazoa; Chordata; Mammalia; Carnivora; Ursidae. The record is from Rfam by way of RNAcentral.
GCCUGGCUGGCUCAGUCGGUGGAGCAUGUGACUCUUGAUCUCAGGGUCAUGAGUUCAAGCCCAUGUUAGACA